AUGGCGACCGGCGCACGGGUGAGUAACACGUAUCCAACCUGCCGAUAACUCGGGGAUAGCCUUUCGAAAGAAAGAUUAAUACCCGAUGGCAUAAUUAGACCGCAUGGUUUGAUUAUUAAAGAAUUUCGGUUAUCGAUAGGGAUGCGUUCCAUUAGGCAGUUGGUGAGGUAACGGCUCACCAAACCUUCGAUGGAUAGGGGUUCUGAGAGGAAGGUCCCCCACAUUGGAACUGAGACACGGUCCAA
RNAcentral lists this ribosomal RNA (245 nucleotides) under uncultured bacterium. RNAcentral describes it as "partial 16S ribosomal RNA". It matches the Rfam family "Bacterial small subunit ribosomal RNA", at positions 88 to 334 of the family's 1533-position model. The record is from RNAcentral.